Molecule: long non-coding RNA, 100 nt
Organism: Gavialis gangeticus (Gharial)
Lineage: Eukaryota; Metazoa; Chordata; Crocodylia; Gavialidae
Exons: 3
Source: RefSeq, a predicted model, not a curated record
CUAUCCAUUAUUCCCAAGAUGAACCCAGAGAUUUCAAAUAGGAAUAAAUAGUGUGAAAAACUUUCUAACUGCUGUGGUCUUUCUGAGCUAUUUGCAACAG